RNAcentral lists this ribosomal RNA (433 nucleotides) under uncultured bacterium. Its description in RNAcentral is "partial 16S ribosomal RNA". It matches the Rfam family "Bacterial small subunit ribosomal RNA", at positions 29 to 507 of the family's 1533-position model. The record is from RNAcentral.
AACGAACGCUGGCGGCAUGCCUAACACAUGCAAGUCGAACGAUCCCUUCGGGGAUAGUGGCGCACGGGUGCGUAACGCGUGGGAACCUGCCCUUAGGUUCGGACUAACUCAGAGAAAUUUGAGCUAAUACCGGAUAAUGUCUUCGGACCAAAGAUUUAUCGCCUUUGGAUGGGCCCGCGUUGGAUUAGCUAGUUGGUGGGGUAAAGGCCUACCAAGGCGACGAUCCAUAGCUGGUCUGAGAGGAUGAUCAGCCACACUGGGACUGAGACACGGCCCAGACUCCUACGGGAGGCAGCAGUGGGGAAUAUUGGACAAUGGGCGAAAGCCUGAUCCAGCAAUGCCGCGUGAGUGAUGAAGGCCUUAGGGUUGUAAAGCUCUUUUACCCGGGAUGAUAAUGACAGUACCGGGAGAAUAAGCCCCGGCUAACUCCGUG